Molecule: ribosomal RNA, 359 nt
Filed under: uncultured Clostridium sp.
Lineage: Bacteria; Bacillati; Bacillota; Clostridia; Eubacteriales; Clostridiaceae
Description: bacterial SSU rRNA
Rfam family: Bacterial small subunit ribosomal RNA
Source: RNAcentral
GUGCCAGCCGCCGCGGUAAUACGUAGGUGGCGAGCGUUGUCCGGAUUUACUGGGCGUAAAGGGUGCGCAGGCGGAUGUUUAAGUGAGAUGUGAAAUACCCGGGCUUAACCCGGGGGCUGCAUUUCAAACUGGACAUCUGGAGUGCAGGAGAGGAGAAUGGAAUUCCUAGUGUAGCGGUGAAAUGCGUAGAGAUUAGGAAGAACACCAGUGGCGAAGGCGAUUCUCUGGACUGUAACUGACGCUGAGGCACGAAAGCGUGGUAGCAAACAGGAUUAGAUACCCUGGUAGUCCACGCCGUAAACGAUGAGUACUAGGUGUAGGAGGUAUCGACCCCUUCUGUGCCGCAGUUAACACAUUAA